GACGAACGCUGGCGGCGUGCUUAACACAUGCAAGUCGAACGAUGAAGCCGGAGCUAGCUCCGGUGGAUUAGUGGCGAACGGGUGAGUAACACGUGAGCAAUCUGCCCUUGACUCUGGGAUAACUGCGGGAAACUGUAGCUCAUACCGGAUACGACACCUUGGGGCAUCCCAGGUUGUGGAAAGAAUUUCGGUCAAGGAUGAGCACGCUGCCUAUCAGCUAGGUGGGGAGGUAAUGGCUCACCAAGGCGACGACGGGUAGCCGGCCUUGGAGGGUGACCGGCCACACUGGGACUGAGACACAGUCCAGACACCUACGGGAGGCAGCGGUGGGGAAUAUUGCACAAUGGGCGAAAGCCUGAUGCAGCAACGCCGCGUGAGAGAUGAAGGCCUUCGGGUUGUAAACCCCUUUUAGCAGGGAAGAAGCGAAAGUGACGGUACCUGCAGAAAAAGCACCGGCUAACUACGUGCCAGCCGCCGCCGUAA
This 483-nucleotide ribosomal RNA is filed under the name uncultured bacterium. Its description in RNAcentral is "partial 16S ribosomal RNA". It matches the Rfam family "Bacterial small subunit ribosomal RNA", at positions 28 to 523 of the family's 1533-position model. The record is from RNAcentral.